UGGACGGCGCCGGGGUGCCCUACUGGAGGGCUGAGAUCACACCCGCAAUACCUGAUCUAGGUCGUGCUAGCGAAGGGAGCCCUGUGAACCAGGUC
RNAcentral lists this non-coding RNA (95 nucleotides) under Tessaracoccus aquimaris. RNAcentral describes it as "TPP riboswitch aptamer (THI element)". It matches the Rfam family "TPP riboswitch aptamer (THI element)". Rfam says of the family: Vitamin B(1) in its active form thiamin pyrophosphate (TPP) is an essential coenzyme that is synthesised by coupling of pyrimidine and thiazole moieties in bacteria. The previously detected thiamin-regulatory element, thi box was extended, resulting in a new, highly conserved RNA secondary structure, the THI element, which is widely distributed in eubacteria and also occurs in some archaea. Lineage: Bacteria; Bacillati; Actinomycetota; Actinomycetes; Propionibacteriales; Propionibacteriaceae. RNAcentral also lists the same sequence under 1 other name. The record is from Rfam by way of RNAcentral.